UGCCCUUCUCUCCGGGCGCGGGCAGGACGCAGGAGCAGGCGGAGUCGCGGCCGCGCGGAUCACCGUGGUUCUUGCGGCUCCCGGGCGUGGCCAUUUACAACCCGCCUCGCACCUGCUAGAGGUCCAAUCCAACAAUGUCUCCAAAUGGGGUGUCAGGGUUGAAGAUGGCCUGCAGCACUGCCUGAUCAUUUGGAGUCCCCAUGGUGCUCAACUCCAAAAUCCCAAAAUUACAGAAAAGACCCCGGCCAUGGAUGGGAGACCUAGGACAAAGAUGGAAAAGAGGCACCUACUGCUACUUCAACACAAAUGGUUUUCAGUCCUUUUAAAUCUUAUCCAGGAAAUUCUGAUGCAAACAAAUUCCUACGUAGUGCCCUGACCAGCUGGAGGAGAGGGAAAGCAGUUUCUAAUGACUGCUCCCCACUCAAGACGUGCUUGGCACCAGACAGCUGCUCAAUGAGGAACACAACUGCAUCAUGGAGAAUCCCCAGCAUCCUCAAACCGUUAACACCUAGAAGAAUCAGAAGCACCAGGGAAGUGAGGAGCGCAGUCAACAGGAAACAGCAUGGUCCUACAGAAAUGCCUAUGCUAUAGUCACUCUGCCAGAGGCUGCUCCAGGGUGAAUUAUAGUACAUAUUAGCUCGAAAUUAGCAUCAGAUAGCCAUUAAAAUGAUGCUGAUACAGAUCUAUCAAUAUGGAAAAUGUUUGUGAUAGACGGCUAAGUGGAAUCAACUCUGCCUUAGGCGAACAAUUUACCAUAAUAUUCUGAGACAGGAGUGGAAUAACACCUCCAGCCAUUACCUGCAAAUGAGAGCUGCUUUAGGCGGGCAUUUGAUCGAGCUUCCUGGACUUUAUCUGUCAAUGACUUCCAGGCAUCUGAAAGGAAAUAAAGAAAACCCGUAAGCCAGAAAAUAU
This 912-nucleotide long non-coding RNA is filed under the name Homo sapiens (human). RNAcentral's name for it is "long non-coding RNA NONHSAT160811.1". The record is from RNAcentral. Lineage: Eukaryota; Metazoa; Chordata; Mammalia; Primates; Hominidae.